This 19-nucleotide non-coding RNA is filed under the name Arabidopsis thaliana (thale cress). Lineage: Eukaryota; Viridiplantae; Streptophyta; Magnoliopsida; Brassicales; Brassicaceae. The record is from RNAcentral.
GAUGGUGACAUGUUGUUGC